GGGAAGGUAGCUCAGUCAGGAAGAGCGGCGACGUGUGCGCAGGUCGCCGGUUCGAAUCCGGCCCUUUCCU
This 70-nucleotide transfer RNA is filed under the name Lysobacter enzymogenes. RNAcentral describes it as "tRNA-His". It matches the Rfam family "tRNA". Rfam says of the family: Transfer RNA (tRNA) molecules are approximately 80 nucleotides in length. The record is from RNAcentral. Lineage: Bacteria; Pseudomonadati; Pseudomonadota; Gammaproteobacteria; Lysobacterales; Lysobacteraceae.